RNAcentral lists this ribosomal RNA (406 nucleotides) under uncultured bacterium. Its description in RNAcentral is "partial 16S ribosomal RNA". It matches the Rfam family "Bacterial small subunit ribosomal RNA", at positions 30 to 526 of the family's 1533-position model. The record is from RNAcentral.
AUUGAACGCUGGCGGCAGGCCUAACACAUGCAAGUCGGGCGAGCGGAGGACGGGUGAGUAAUGUAUGGGGAUUCGCCUGAUGAAUGGGAAUAAAUACUGGAAACGGUAGCUAAUACAGAAUACCAUCAGAGGAAACAAUAUGGGAUUAGCUUGUAGGUGAGGUAACGGAUAACCUAGGCGACGAUCCCUAGCUGGUCUGAGAGGAUGAUCAGCCACACUGGGACUGAGACACGGCCCAGACUCCUACGUGCGGCAGCAGUGGGGAAUAUUGCACAAUGGGAGCAAGCCUGAUGCAGCCAUGCCGCGUGUAUGAAGAAGGCCUUCGGGUUGUAAAGUACUUUCAGUCGGGAGGCGUUACUGACAGAAGCAGCACCGGCUAACUCCGUGCCAGCAGCCGCGGUAAUAC